CAGCUUGCAGCUGAAGAAGGAGCAUUGAGAGGAGUGAAAGCUAGCCGAAGUGGAUUGCAGAUUUCUCAUCUACUUUUUACAGAUGAUUGUAUCUUAUUCAGCGAGGCGACUAGUAGAGGGGCUACCAUACUGAAAUGAAUUCUAAAGGAAUAUAGAAUUUGCUCGGGCUAGUGCGUUAAUUUUGAAAAAUCUACGAUUUUUUUAGCAAAAACACGACAGAAGAAGCCAAA
RNAcentral lists this long non-coding RNA (230 nucleotides) under Gossypium barbadense (sea-island cotton). RNAcentral describes it as "long non-coding RNA (GBAR_LNC003928)". The record is from RNAcentral. Lineage: Eukaryota; Viridiplantae; Streptophyta; Magnoliopsida; Malvales; Malvaceae.